AGUCGAACGCAGUAGCAAUACUGAGUGGCAAACGGGUGAGUAUAAUGUGGGAAUCUGCCUUUUGGUUUGGAAUAACACGGGGAAACUUGUGCUAAUACCGGAUAAGCCCUUACGGGGAAAGUUUUAACGCCGAAAGAUGAGCCUGCACUUGAUUAGCUAGUUGGUAAGGUAAAAGCUUACCAAGGCAACGAUCAAUAGCUGUUCUUAGAGGAAGACCAGCCACAUUGGGACUGAGACACGGCCCAGACUCCUACGGGAGGCAGCAGUGGGGAAUCUUGCACAAUGGGGGAAACCCUGAUGCAGCGAUGCCGCGUGAGUGAAGAAGGCCUUUGGGUUGUAAAACUCUUUCGUCGGGGAAGAAAAUGACUGUACCCGAAUAAGAAGGUCCGGCUAACUUCGUGCCAGCAGCCGCGGUAAUACGAAGGGACCUAGCGUAGUUCGGAAUUACUGGGCUUAAAGAGCUCGUUGGUGGUUAAAAAAGUUGAUGGUGAAAUCCCAAGGCUCAACCUUGGAACUGCCAUCAAAACUUUUUAGCUAGAGUGUGAUAGAGGUAAGUGGAAUUUCUAGUGUAGAGGUGAAAUUCGUAGAUAUUAGAAAGAACACCAAAUGCGAAGGCAACUUACUGGGUCACUACUGACACUGAGGAGCGAAAGCAUGGGUAGCGAAGAGGAUUAGAUACCCUCGUAGUCCAUGCCGUAAACGAUGUGUGCUAGACGUUGGAAAUAUAUUUUUCAGUGUCGCAGCGAAAGCAUUAAGCACACCGCCUGGGGAGUACGACCGCAAGGUUAAAACUCAAAUGAAUUGACGGGGACCCGCACA
RNAcentral lists this ribosomal RNA (819 nucleotides) under uncultured marine bacterium. RNAcentral's name for it is "bacterial SSU rRNA". It matches the Rfam family "Bacterial small subunit ribosomal RNA", at positions 60 to 927 of the family's 1533-position model. The record is from RNAcentral.